UGCCAGCAGCCGCGGUAAUACGUAGGUGGCAAGCGUUGUCCGGAAUUAUUGGGCGUAAAGAGUAUGUAGGCGGUUUGUUAAGUUUGAGGUUAAAGCCCGGAGCUCAACUCCGGUCCGCCUUGAAAACUGGCAGACUUGAAUAUGGUAGAGGCAAGUGGAAUUUCAUGUGUAGCGGUAAAAUGCGUAGAUAUAUGAAGGAACACCAGUGGCGAAGGCGACUUGCUGGGCCAUUAUUGACGCUGAGAUACGAAAGCGUGGGGAGCAAAUAGGAUUAGAUA
Molecule: ribosomal RNA, 278 nt
Filed under: uncultured bacterium
Lineage: Bacteria
Description: partial 16S ribosomal RNA
Rfam family: Bacterial small subunit ribosomal RNA
Source: RNAcentral